Molecule: long non-coding RNA, 678 nt
Organism: Stomoxys calcitrans (stable fly)
Lineage: Eukaryota; Metazoa; Arthropoda; Insecta; Diptera; Muscidae
Exons: 3
Source: RefSeq, a predicted model, not a curated record
UUUGUAGUCUUCUUUGUCAACUUUGCAAAAACUUUAAAUGCCCUCUUGUUUUUGAUUUGUUAUGUCUUCUAAUGCACUUUUCAAUUUGGAAGCCAUCUUUGCCCGUAAGAGAAGAAUGCAAUUUUUCCCCUAUUUUUGGAAUGAAUGUCAGAGCCACGAAUGUGGAAAAUGAAUUAUGUGUUAAAACAACAAAAACCGCAAUUUUCUAAUGCACAUUGACAAAAUUAUGAAAGUGUCCUUAAAAACUGAAAAUUAGAGCAAGUUUUUUUCAAUAAAGACUAAUCAGUGACCAAAUCUUUUGACCAAAAACUACACUUUUUCACAUUCUUGACUUCCAAUCUAUAUAACUAUUAACUGAAUAAUCAUGUGGUAAGGUGGAUCGUGGUAAAUUUUGUCACCAAUCUAGCAGAUAUCUUAAGAUCAGAAACAAAACAAUCUGUGCCACAUUUUAUGCAGAUCGGUUGAAAAUUGUAGUUACAAUGGUCACUUAAGUGCAAACCGGGCGAUAUAUAUAUAUAUAUAUAUGGGAGAUAUCUCCAAAUAUGAACCGAUUUUGAUGAAAUCUUGCAGAUAUGUUGGGAUCAGGAACAAACAAAUCCGUGCCAAAUUUUGUGCAGAUCGGGCGAUACACUUAUAUAGGAGCUAAAUCUAAAUCUGAACCUAUUUUUACAAAAACAA